GGGCCCGCACAAGCGGUGGAGCAUGUGGUUUAAUUCGAUGAUACGCGAGGAACCUUACCAGGACUUAAAUGUAAGUUGCAUGAUUCAGAAAUGAAUCUUUCUUCGGACUACUUACAAGGUGCUGCAUGGUUGUCGUCAGCUCGUGCCGUGAGGUGUCAGGUUAAGUCCUAUAACGAGCGCAACCCUCACUUUUAGUUGCCAUCAUUAAGUUGGGCACUCUGAAAGAACUGCCAGUGAUAAGCUGGAGGAAGGUGGGGAUGACGUCAAAUCAUCACGGCCCUUACGUUCUGGGCUACACACGUGCUACAAUGGUCGGUACAGAAAGCAGCCACUAUGCGAAUAGGAGCUAAUCUUUAAAACCGAUCUCAGUUCGGAUCGCAGUCUGCAACUCGACUGCGUGAAGCUGGAAUCGCUAGUAAUCGGAUAU
This 427-nucleotide ribosomal RNA is filed under the name uncultured bacterium. RNAcentral describes it as "bacterial SSU rRNA". It matches the Rfam family "Bacterial small subunit ribosomal RNA", at positions 917 to 1349 of the family's 1533-position model. The record is from RNAcentral.